This 56-nucleotide ribosomal RNA is filed under the name uncultured soil eukaryote. RNAcentral's name for it is "partial 28S ribosomal RNA". The record is from RNAcentral.
UUUGACCUCGAAUUAGGUAGGACUACCCGCUGAACUUAAGCAUAUCAAUAAGCGGA